RNAcentral lists this ribosomal RNA (2925 nucleotides) under Escherichia coli. RNAcentral describes it as "23S ribosomal RNA". It matches the Rfam family "Bacterial large subunit ribosomal RNA". Lineage: Bacteria; Pseudomonadati; Pseudomonadota; Gammaproteobacteria; Enterobacterales; Enterobacteriaceae. The record is from RNAcentral.
GGGUUGUGAGGUUAAGCGACUAAGCGUACACGGUGGAUGCCCUGGCAGUCAGAGGCGAUGAAGGACGUGCUAAUCUGCGAUAAGCGUCGGUGAGGUGAUAUGAACCGUUAUAACCGGCGAUUUCCGAAUGGGGAAACCCAGUGUGUUUCGACACACUAUCAUUAACUGAAUCCAUAGGUUAAUGAGGCGAACCGGGGGAACUGAAACAUCUAAGUACCCCGAGGAAAAGAAAUCAACCGAGAUUCCCCCAGUAGCGGCGAGCGAACGGGGAGGAGCCCAGAGCCUGAAUCAGUGUGUGUGUUAGUGGAAGCGUCUGGAAAGGCGCGCGAUACAGGGUGACAGCCCCGUACACAAAAAUGCACAUGCUGUGAGCUCGAUGAGUAGGGCGGGACACGUGGUAUCCUGUCUGAAUAUGGGGGGACCAUCCUCCAAGGCUAAAUACUCCUGACUGACCGAUAGUGAACCAGUACCGUGAGGGAAAGGCGAAAAGAACCCCGGCGAGGGGAGUGAAAAAGAACCUGAAACCGUGUACGUACAAGCAGUGGGAGCCUCUUAAUGGGGUGACUGCGUACCUUUUGUAUAAUGGGUCAGCGACUUAUAUUCUGUAGCAAGGUUAACCGAAUAGGGGAGCCGAAGGGAAACCGAGUCUUAACUGGGCGUUAAGUUGCAGGGUAUAGACCCGAAACCCGGUGAUCUAGCCAUGGGCAGGUUGAAGGUUGGGUAACACUAACUGGAGGACCGAACCGACUAAUGUUGAAAAAUUAGCGGAUGACUUGUGGCUGGGGGUGAAAGGCCAAUCAAACCGGGAGAUAGCUGGUUCUCCCCGAAAGCUAUUUAGGUAGCGCCUCGUGAAUUCAUCUCCGGGGGUAGAGCACUGUUUCGGCAAGGGGGUCAUCCCGACUUACCAACCCGAUGCAAACUGCGAAUACCGGAGAAUGUUAUCACGGGAGACACACGGCGGGUGCUAACGUCCGUCGUGAAGAGGGAAACAACCCAGACCGCCAGCUAAGGUCCCAAAGUCAUGGUUAAGUGGGAAACGAUGUGGGAAGGCCCAGACAGCCAGGAUGUUGGCUUAGAAGCAGCCAUCAUUUAAAGAAAGCGUAAUAGCUCACUGGUCGAGUCGGCCUGCGCGGAAGAUGUAACGGGGCUAAACCAUGCACCGAAGCUGCGGCAGCGACACUAUGUGUUGUUGGGUAGGGGAGCGUUCUGUAAGCCUGUGAAGGUAGCCUGUGAGGGUUGCUGGAGGUAUCAGAAGUGCGAAUGCUGACAUAAGUAACGAUAAAGCGGGUGAAAAGCCCGCUCGCCGGAAGACCAAGGGUUCCUGUCCAACGUUAAUCGGGGCAGGGUGAGUCGAUCCCUAAGGCGAGGCCGAAAGGCGUAGUCGAUGGGAAACAGGUUAAUAUUCCUGUACUUGGUGUUACUGCGAAGGGGGGACGGAGAAGGCUAUGUUGGCCGGGCGACGGUUGUCCCGGUUUAAGCGUGUAGGCUGGUUUUCCAGGCAAAUCCGGAAAAUCAAGGCUGAGGCGUGAUGACGAGGCACUACGGUGCUGAAGUGACAAAUGCCCUGCUUCCAGGAAAAGCCUCUAAGCAUCAGGUAACAUCAAAUCGUACCCCAAACCGACACAGGUGGUCAGGUAGAGAAUACCAAGGCGCUUGAGAGAACUCGGGUGAAGGAACUAGGCAAAAUGGUGCCGUAACUUCGGGAGAAGGCACGCUGAUAUGUAGGUGAAGCGACUUGCUCGUGGAGCUGAAAUCAGUCGAAGAUACCAGCUGGCUGCAACUGUUUAUUAAAAACACAGCACUGUGCAAACACGAAAGUGGACGUAUACGGUGUGACGCCUGCCCGGUGCCGGAAGGUUAAUUGAUGGGGUUAGCGGUAACGCGAAGCUCUUGAUCGAAGCCCCGGUAAACGGCGGCCGUAACUAUAACGGUCCUAAGGUAGCGAAAUUCCUUGUCGGGUAAGUUCCGACCUGCACGAAUGGCGUAAUGAUGGCCAGGCUGUCUCCACCCGAGACUCAGUGAAAUUGAACUCGCUGUGAAGAUGCAGUGUACCCGCGGCAAGACGGAAAGACCCCGUGAACCUUUACUAUAGCUUGACACUGAACAUUGAGCCUUGAUGUGUAGGAUAGGUGGGAGGCUUUGAAGUGUGGACGCCAGUCUGCAUGGAGCCGACCUUGAAAUACCACCCUUUAAUGUUUGAUGUUCUAACGUUGGCCCGUAAUCCGGGUUGCGGACAGUGUCUGGUGGGUAGUUUGACUGGGGCGGUCUCCUCCUAAAGAGUAACGGAGGAGCACGAAGGUUGGCUAAUCCUGGUCGGACAUCAGGAGGUUAGUGCAAUGGCAUAAGCCAGCUUGACUGCGAGCGUGACGGCGCGAGCAGGUGCGAAAGCAGGUCAUAGUGAUCCGGUGGUUCUGAAUGGAAGGGCCAUCGCUCAACGGAUAAAAGGUACUCCGGGGAUAACAGGCUGAUACCGCCCAAGAGUUCAUAUCGACGGCGGUGUUUGGCACCUCGAUGUCGGCUCAUCACAUCCUGGGGCUGAAGUAGGUCCCAAGGGUAUGGCUGUUCGCCAUUUAAAGUGGUACGCGAGCUGGGUUUAGAACGUCGUGAGACAGUUCGGUCCCUAUCUGCCGUGGGCGCUGGAGAACUGAGGGGGGCUGCUCCUAGUACGAGAGGACCGGAGUGGACGCAUCACUGGUGUUCGGGUUGUCAUGCCAAUGGCACUGCCCGGUAGCUAAAUGCGGAAGAGAUAAGUGCUGAAAGCAUCUAAGCACGAAACUUGCCCCGAGAUGAGUUCUCCCUGACUCCUUGAGAGUCCUGAAGGAACGUUGAAGACGACGACGUUGAUAGGCCGGGUGUGUAAGCGCAGCGAUGCGUUGAGCUAACCGGUACUAAUGAACCGUGAGGCUUAACCUUACAACGCCGAAG